RNAcentral lists this ribosomal RNA (425 nucleotides) under uncultured bacterium. RNAcentral's name for it is "partial 16S ribosomal RNA". It matches the Rfam family "Bacterial small subunit ribosomal RNA", at positions 354 to 796 of the family's 1533-position model. The record is from RNAcentral.
GUGGGGAAUCUUGCGCAAUGGGCGAAAGCCUGACGCAGCCAUGCCGCGUGGAUGAUGAAGGUCUUAGGAUUGUAAAAUCCUUUCACCGGUGAAGAUAAUGACUGUAGCCGGAGAAGAAGCCCCGGCUAACUUCGUGCCAGCAGCCGCGGUAAUACGAAGGGGGCUAGCGUUGCUCGGAUUUACUGGGCGUAAAGGGCGCGUAGGCGGACAUUUAAGUCAGGGGUGAAAUCCCGGGGCUCAACCUCGGAACUGCCGUUGAUACUGGGUGUCUUGAGUAUGAGAGAGGUGUGUGGAACUCCGAGUGUAGAGGUGAAAUUCGUAGAUAUUCGGAAGAACACCAGUGGCGAAGGCGACACACUGGCUCAUUACUGACGCUGAGGCGCGAAAGCGUGGGGAGCAAACAGGAUUAGAUACCCUUGUAGUCC